GAUCAUGGCUCAGGAUGAACGCUGGCGGCGUGCCUAACACAUGCAAGUCGGAACGGAGUUACUUUGGUGAAGUUUUCGGAUGGAUCUGAUUUAACUUAGUGGCGGACGGGUGAGUAAUGCGUGAGCAACCUGCCCUUCAGAGGGGGACAACAGUUGGAAACGACUGCUAAUACCGCAUAAUGUAUUCGGAAGGCAUCUUUCUGAAUACCAAAGGAGAAAAUCCGCUUAGAGGGAUGGGCUCACGG
This 245-nucleotide ribosomal RNA is filed under the name uncultured bacterium. RNAcentral's name for it is "partial 16S ribosomal RNA". It matches the Rfam family "Bacterial small subunit ribosomal RNA", at positions 15 to 236 of the family's 1533-position model. The record is from RNAcentral.